Cydia pomonella (codling moth) is the source of this 3223-nucleotide long non-coding RNA. RefSeq lists it as uncharacterized. The record is from RefSeq and is a predicted model, not a curated record. NCBI's taxonomy places the organism in Eukaryota, Metazoa, Arthropoda, Insecta, Lepidoptera, Tortricidae. The transcript is spliced from 3 exons.
ACAAAGGUAUUUUAACGUUUAAAUGUGUAUUUUAGAUGUGCACUUUUUUCGAACCACUAACAUUUAUUGAACUAAUUAAUUCUAACGAUUACCAUGAUUAAUCUAAGAUGGAAAAAGAUUUACCAUAAUUAAGAAUAGGGAGUAAAUUUGCGAUAAAAAAAGCUUGCAAUCCCUAAAAAUUCUAUGCAUUUGACAUUUUGAAUGACCUUCGUCUACACUAGCGCCCCUAGCGGCGAAAUUAAUCGCGGUAGCCCUCAUUGUCUCGAUGAGUAUUCGUUGCCUGUUUGAAGAAAAGUAUAGUCAGCAAUAAAAGCUUGUAUCUUCUUCUUCCUCGCGUUAUCCCGGCAUUUUGUCCCGGCUCAUGGGAGCCUGGGAUCCGUUUGACAACUAAAAUAAAAGCUUGUAUCAAAAAUGAAUAUUUUGACACAAACUUAUUUGUAAAAUAGCUUACUGUUAAUACGUACACUAUGUCGGUACUUUUCGAAUUUAAUACCGGUACAGACAAUGAGCGAAAAUUGCACGUUGCAGUCGAUAGAGAUCGGUACAGCGUAUAAAAUUAAGAGCAUCGUGCUGUGGAAAUCAUUCACAUGGGAGCGGAUCAGAUAAUUGACGAUAAAAUGAUGUAUGUGUUUGAUAAUAACGAUAAUAAUAUGUUCCACGUAUCGGGGGAAAGUGGAUUCUUUCUUUAUUAUCCUAUCAGCUAAAAUAAGUCCAGUGUCCUUAACUUUUGAGUGCAGAAGAGACAUUUUUUUGCUGUAUAUGACUCAUAUAUGUAUCAUGUAAAGUUUCAUGAAAACUUAAAUAAAAAACAUUCGAACCUGCGUUCUAUAAUUUGAGAGGAGUCUUGAGUACUCGGUGAUCAAAUAUUUUUUACAGACACCUAUUUUAUGAAAGCGAAUCAUUUAUAAACUAUGUUAAGUCAAUUCACCAGCGGAAUGCGUCCACAACAGACGAUAUUUUAGACUUCUUUUAUUGCAUCUGGAACACCUACUGACAUAACAUAUAUAUAUAUAUUUUUUAGUUCCGCUACCUAAAGGUUGUGUGCAAGAGAUCGCUUUUUAGCGAUAAGACCGCCUGUUGUUUACCUCUUCUUUAUGUGUUGUAUUAUUUGUACUGUUUCUGUAUUGAGGUGUACAAUAAAGUGUAUUUGUAUUGUAUUGUAUUUUAUUCACAUCAAUAAUGAUGUAUGGAUAAGUAUAGAGAUGGGCCGAAUAUGGAGUUUGCCGAAUACGAAUAUUCGGCCGAAUGUUCCGUCCGGAUCUUAUCACUCAUACAUUUUUUAUAAAUCAUCCGAAAACGUCUUAAUUGCAAUCGCAGCUAGAGAGAUAAACUGCUCCCUUGAAGCAUUCAGAUUUCGUAAAAGGCAAACGACUCGCGAACAAAUUUUCUAGUGAUCUUUUAGUCCCGUGAAUACCUAGUAGGUAUGCAUCAUAGGUACAUUUUAUAAUGUUAAUAGAAAAAUUGUAUGCAGAGUUGAAUGAACAUCAAGUAUGAAAAACAUUUGCCGAAUAUUCGGCAUUUGAACAGAAUAAAUAAUAGUACUACGUACAGAAGGUUCACUGUACAACAAAACCCCUGUUUAUGUAUACCGAAUGUUCCUAAAACGUUGCCGAUUGGACAUAUUAUGUGUUGUCAGCAUUAUUGUCAUUGCUUCCGCAACUAGCUGCGAUGCAGUGUUUACUUCUUUUACGUCCCGAUUCGAAGAAUGAUUAAGACACGUUUAAGAUCUUGGAAAUAUCUUUAAAAGAUCGAUAACUAAGCGACAUGUCAAAAUUGACGUUUAUUUUGAUUCCGCUAUGAUCACAAUAGGAUCUAGCUACGAUAUUUCUAACGUCAAAGUGACAUUGGUUGCCCGAAUCAAGCUGCUUCUGUCAAUUAUACGACACACAAACGAUAUCUAAAUGAGAACUUAUCUAAACCAGAUCUUAUUGUUGUCGUCGUUUUCGUAUGUCAUUUUUCGAAUCGGGCCAUUAGACAUGUUUUUGCGACUUUGCGACACCAAUUUUUGUGCAGAGAUUUACCCCAGCGAAUACGAAUAUUGAAAAACUUGCCGAAUGCCGGAUAAUUACCGGAUAUUUAGGCCAUCCCUAGUUGAGAAUGACAAUAAAUUCCAUCGUCAAUGUAAAUUGGUUGACGGUGGUCGGCAUUCUUUUGUAUGAGGCCGUGAGUCAUGAAAACGUUUUUAAGGAACUAUAGGAAUUUUGAAGAAAAAACAAGAUUCUAGCUGGCUAUGACGAGACAGCUUUAAGUGUAAUUUAGUCAUCGUGAAAAAGGAAAUGUGAAAGUUUGGAUAAACGAUUCUUUAUGCAAAGAAAUACUAAAAAACCUUGUAUGUAAAUUUACCAGAAUACUAUCAGACUUUGGCACUACUAAAAUCUUUGUAAAAUUUAGCUUUUUCCUCGCAAGUGUGAUGAAAACCAUUGUGUGUAACUCCGGGGUAAGAAUAUUGCGCACGCACAAUCUACUAUUUUUUAAAUAAUCUUCAACGCUCAUGUAAAACCUUCAGGAAUUACAAAUACCUGUAGUCUACAGGUUCCGCUUACAAUCUACCAUCGCUUUGCUUGCCACCAUCGUGCUGAAAUUCUCCAGCCAACUGUACAUAAGUAAUGCCAUUUCAUGAACAAAAUUAUCCGCAAGACGAUUCACUUAAUAGGUAUACCCAAAGGGUGAAGAAAUUACAAUUUAACCCCAAGAAACCCUUGUAAGUAUUUGAACAAUAUGAAGUUACAAUUAGAGCCUUUGCUCUGUCGGUUGGAUUCAAUUAAGGGGUAAUCGGAAAUUUCUGUUCAUUAUCUUUGAUGUUAUUUUGGGAAAAGGUCAAAUUUGGAAAUUCUUUGAAUUAAUUUAGGAAUUAAGGAAUUAAUGUACUUUUACAGUACAUAUGGUACAACUUUACCGCACUAGUGCGAAAAUUAGCAUAUUACGUUACUGUGUCGAACAUUUAAAGGGCUGUAUGUACUGUAAAACGUUGUACGAUACAUGUGCAAAUAGGUAAUUCGCAACUCGUGUCGAUUUAAAACACUCCCUUCGGUCGUGUUUUAAUUUAUCGCCACUCGUUUCGAAUUUCCUAUUUUUUGCACUUGUAUCGUAAUGUACUAUUAAAUAAGUGUAUUAGAUGUGUACCUAAACACUUUGUUUUAAAUGAAAAAGAAGACACGCUAGACUCAUUCAUAAAAUAGACACACUAAAGACCUUCAACAAAACAUAGAAACAUAACAUACCA